GGGCUGGAGACGGAAGUGACGUCAGAGCUCGCGCAUGCGUGAGGGACGAUGGCGGAGGCGGCGGAGAGCGGAGCGAGACUCGCUCGGGAGCUGGAGGCCCCUGGAGGGACUGCAGCAGCCCUUGUUUGUGGCUUUGUACCUGCUGCACAACGACACGUGAGUGGCUUCUCUCCACCUGUGGCUUUACACCUGGGUUUGUCACCAGCAGCUCGAGCUGCAGCCGCCAGAACGAGAGGAGUUGGUUGUGAAUAACACGCGGUAUCUCUGGAAAAGAAUCCCUCCUGCCAUCAGAUCUAAACAAUGUCUGAAGUUCCUGAAGCAGCAGAAGCAGUGACAGCAGCAGCCUGGAUCGAUCCACAGGCAGGACAGUCUUGUCCCAGGCCAGGAUUUCACUGGAGUGUCAUCAGCUCCUUGGGAGUUGCUGAAGGUGAGAUGGAACUUUAUUCUGCAUUUGCUGUCCCUUUCCCACUGGAGCCAGAGUGUUGGCUCUGUGUCGUGCAGGACUUGAGCUGCUAAGGACAAGCUCUGAGGGUGUUUGGGAAUUAAGGUGGGAGAACUUCCUCUGAAAGUGUUUGAUUUGCUUUUUCAUCCCUCAGAAUUUCCAUGAUAUUUGGUAUGGAAUCUCUCAGAGGGGUUUAUCUCCACAUAAGCCCUGAAUAUGCCAGUAGGUUUCAGCUGGGAAAAAGGAGCUUCUGGUUUUUGUAUCUGAUGUGUCACGGGCUGGUUUAAAGUUUAGCUAAAAUCUCAGCCAGCUGUUCCCUGAAAUCAGGUUAAAGGAAGAUUGCCACACCCAGCUCACUUCUGCAGCACUUUAUCAGGAAGGCUGGCAAGUCACAGGAUUUCAGCUGCCUUAGGCUUGGGAAGAAGCCCCUGCUUUAGAAGCUUUCAGGCAACUUCUCAAAUGGAGUUCUCUUGGGAUCCAGCCUGUCCAUGGCAGCUUCCCAUCCAUCCUGGGAAAUUGGGCAGGGACCCCACUAAAUGCCCUCUGCACUGGGCACAGCUUUUCUCCCUGGAGAGGUGCUCCAGCAGCACUUGGCACACAGCAGCCGGUUUGUCCCAGUCCGUGUGACCUGGGAUUGAUCCUGAUUUAUUUGACUCUGGAGUCACUGAAGUGCUGGAUUAUGGAGAACAGACAACACUGUGGAUAAACCCCUCGUGUCACCUGGUGACUUUUGGACAGGGCUCAGGAAUUUGCAGGGGGUGCGCUCUGGAUAUUCCUGGGACAGGAUAUUCCCGCACCUGCUUGUUAGACAAGGAAUCCCAAAGCCAGUAAGUCAGUCCCAUCCCAUCUGUGCCAGUGGGGGGUGCGAGGGGGAACACGCACGGCUCUUUGAGACAUUCCCAACUGGAACCGGGACUGAGGGAGCACUGAAGCCACAAGGUCAGCGUGGAACGGCACCCCCAGGGAAUGCCGAGGCUUGCCAUCCCCAGGGAAUGCUGAGGCUUGCCAUCCCCAGGGAAUGCCGAGGCUUGCCAUCCCCAGGGAAUGCCGAGGCUUGCCAUCCCCAGGGAAUGCCGAGGCUUGCCAUCCCCAGGGAAUGCCGAGGCUUGCCAUCCCCAGGGAAUGCCGAGGCUUGCCAUCCCCAGGGAAUGCCGAGGCUUGCCAUCCCCAGGGAAUGCCGAGGCUUGCCAUCCCCAGGGAAUGCCGAGGCUUGCCAUCCCCAGGGAAUGCCGAGGCUUGCCAUCCCCAGGGAAUGCCGAGGCUUGCCAUCCCCAGGGAAUGCCGAGGCUUGCCAUCCCCAGGGAAUGCCGAGGCUUGCCAUCCCCAGGGAAUGCCGAGGCUUGCCAUCCCCAGGGAAUGCCGAGGCUUGCCAUCCCCAGGGAAUGCCGAGGCUUGCCAUCCCCAGGGAAUGCCGAGGCUUGCCAUCCCCAGGGAAUGCCGAGGCUUGCUGUGCCGUGGCACUUGGCAGCACAUCCCUGAUGUGCCAAAAAGAGGAGGGGAGAAGAUCUGGGUUAGGGGAGGACAUUUCUGGGAGGGACUUGGAAGAGGUGCUGAUCACCUCAUGGAAUCACAGGCUGGUUUGGGUUGGAAGGGACCAUGAAGACAGUCUGGACUCUGGCAUCCGAAUUCACAGCAAAGAGCACGUCCAGAAGCACCUCCUCACCCUCCUGCAUGUCAUGAGUGUCUUCCACGGCACCACCCGGCCUGUUUGGGAACGGGAACGGCUGCUGGGAGCUCUGGCAGCAGCACCUGGAGAGCAGGUAAAAAGAGCCAUGGGAUUGUUUUGGCUGCUGCUGGAUCUGGUUUUUCCAGAUGUCCCUCUGAUUGAUCCAUUUCACAGUGGGUUCCUAGGGCACAUUGGUGGGGG
Long non-coding RNA from Chiroxiphia lanceolata (lance-tailed manakin), 2309 nucleotides. RefSeq lists it as uncharacterized. The transcript has 5 exons. The record is from RefSeq and is a predicted model, not a curated record. NCBI's taxonomy places the organism in Eukaryota, Metazoa, Chordata, Aves, Passeriformes, Pipridae.